UUUACCCUCCAGUCUCCAGAACUACAGGAUUUAUCUUAUAACUUUGUUCCUGAAAUAAAUGUACUGAGGAUUUUUAGAAGGAAAGAUCCUAACUGCCCUGGAGGCUUGUGCCAGUCAUCUGCAUAUAAAGUGCUUCACAACAGCAGAAGGAAUGUUAAUUAGGUUUCUUGAUUGAGAAAAAGAAGUCUGACGGAGAUGCAGAUCACCAAUGGAGGGUGGCAGGAAUAAAGGCUCUCGAACUGAGCUCUUGUUCAUUUGCCGUUACAGUUAAGGCAAGUGUUGACUGCAUAAUGAAAAUAAGGAAGA
Long non-coding RNA from Gavia stellata (red-throated loon), 306 nucleotides. RefSeq lists it as uncharacterized. Lineage: Eukaryota; Metazoa; Chordata; Aves; Gaviiformes; Gaviidae. The record is from RefSeq and is a predicted model, not a curated record. The transcript is spliced from 4 exons.